Cygnus olor (mute swan) is the source of this 1202-nucleotide long non-coding RNA. RefSeq lists it as uncharacterized. Lineage: Eukaryota; Metazoa; Chordata; Aves; Anseriformes; Anatidae. The transcript is spliced from 2 exons. The record is from RefSeq and is a predicted model, not a curated record.
AAGGAACAUAUGAAUAGACAUAAGAAACAUAAGAAAUACCUGUUGUCUAAACACAACUUAUUCUUCUUAGCUGUCCUUCUCACAGGGAAUUCUCUGUUCUGCAGGCUGGGCUUUCCUUCUCUAGAUGGACCCUUCUCUGCCCAAAGAGAUGUAGCUCCAAGUUCUCCCCCUAAACUAACAAAUCCGAAUAGAGCCAUAACACCAGGUCAGGGGCAGGGCAAGACAAGCAUGACAGUGGGGGAGAGGCUUCAGGUUUCGUCUUUUCAAAAAGACAGUUUAGACAGUUUUUGAAAGGGAAAGAAACUGUCACAUGGAUUGGUAUUGGGUAGAUGCUGCUUAAGGAACUGCAGAGAUAACAAGUUGUUAAGGUGUAAGCAGCUGUUGCACAAGUGGGUUUGUUUUCUUUGUUUGAUUUGUUUGUUUUUCUACAGUCAGUUCUGUCUUGACCUUCUCGCUACACAGCUACAUGGUCUGUCUUUAUUGCAAUUCUGGUCAUAUGCAGAAAUCUAUUUAAAGUGACCACCCAAGACACGGGCAAAACUAAUUCACUUCUAAGAGCUGGACUUUAUAAAAAGAUAAAAAAGAAGUGGUUACGGAAACCCUGAUGGGCCACUUGAAAAUAAUGGCUUAAUAACAAGCUAAUUUAAUAUUUCAGUUAAAAUUUAACUAACUGUGUGUGACUGCGUACCAAAAGUUAGAAAAGAUUUUUCCAAGCAGACUAGUACAAUAACUUUCCUUAAAACGAUGUUUCUUAAUAACUAAACCUUACCCCAUGGUAUGACAAGCCAGGUACCCGAAAAUUGAGGCACAUAAAAUUGCUGGUUAUUUUAAUUCAAACAACAUAAAUGAGCCCUAUACUUGAGAGAAAAUCUUUUCAACCCAGCAUGUCAACUACUUAACUAUAAAGUUGAAGUCUUAAAAAGGACAGCAUGAUAUUGGAAGGUUUCUUGGAAGUUAGAAGAGUCCUGCAUUGGUUCUUAAUGGAAUGGAAGCACUAAGAGAAACAAUGACAUUGUGUGAUCUGUACACACUAGCUUUUCUAAAGUUUUUCAGGCUGCAAUGACUCUCUGGGACUCUGUCUGUUCAAGUUAAAAGUAUUCUUAAUUGCUGUGAUGUGCUGAUCAAACCUUGAAAUGUCUGGUCAAAUUAUUUCCACUAAAGCAGUUCUAUUUAUGAUUAAUUAAAAUUUCUUCUUGAUUGCA